AGAGUUUGAUCAUGGCUCAGGAUGAACGCUAGCGGGAGGCCUAACACAUGCAAGCCGAGCGGUAUUUGUCCUUCGGGACAGAGAGAGCGGCGUACGGGUGCGGAACACGUGUGCAACCUACCUUUAUCAGGGGGAUAGCCUUUCGAAAGGAAGAUUAAUACCCCAUAAUAUAAACCAAGGCAUCUUGAUUUAUUGAAAACUCCGGUGGAUAGAGAUGGGCACGCGCAAGAUUAGAUAGUUGGUAGGGUAACGGCCUACCAAGUCAAUGAUCUUUAGGGGGCCUGAGAGGGUGAUCCCCCACACUGGUACUGAGACACGGACCAGACUCCUACGGGAGGCAGCAGUGAGGAAUAUUGGACAAUGGGUGAGAGCCUGAUCCAGCCAUCCCGCGUGAAGGACGACGGCCCUAUGGGUUGUAAACUUCUUUUGUAUAGGGAUAAACCUACUCUCGUGAGAGUAGCUGAAGGUACUAUACGAAUAAGCACCGGCUAACUCCGUGCCAGCCGCCGCGGUAA
This 515-nucleotide ribosomal RNA is filed under the name uncultured Chryseobacterium sp. RNAcentral describes it as "bacterial SSU rRNA". It matches the Rfam family "Bacterial small subunit ribosomal RNA", at positions 8 to 523 of the family's 1533-position model. The record is from RNAcentral. Lineage: Bacteria; Pseudomonadati; Bacteroidota; Flavobacteriia; Flavobacteriales; Weeksellaceae.